GUCAUUUACUAUAUGAGUUAAUAUACCUGGGCUAAAGAACAAGAUCAUCAUAGUUCAACAUUUAUCCCAGCAAAAGUAAAUGAACUGGUACAUAAAUAGUGCUUUUCUACUUUAUUUGAGCGCUCAAAGCACUUUCUUAUUUCAAGCCUCAUUCACACAAGUGCUUUUUACCCAACAUUCACACACUCACACACGAGAAUUACAUCAACUGGCCAUAAUUAUCUAUUUGUCCAAUGAGAGUUGAGCUACUUACAUCACUGGACCAUUGGAAUGCAAAGUUUCCGUAUUAGUUUUGUAAACUAAUAUUAGCAGGCAGGAGCCUGACUUUCUCUCAGUAGGCAGUGUUUUGAAAUAAUAUGGUUUGCAGCCAGUUCCUGAGCAAGCACACUGCAACCCUGAACAGGUAAUAAUAAUAAAACAAAGCUCUCUCUUUUUAAUGUUGUUCUGCUAUUCCCACUGAAACACCUCAUUUACUCCAAAUCCUCACAUUUUCUCUACCCGUUCCCCUGUCUUUCUUCUUCCUCCCUCUCUCGCUCAUGGCCCCUUAACUUUUCUUUUUUGAGACAGCGUAUCGAGUUGCUUUCAUCCACGGUUUCUGGUGCAAAGGCGCACGGCGUGCGAGAGGGUAGGGGAAUGCUGCGGGUUCGUUUGACUUUGGGACCUGAAGCGGACGGAGUUUUGGACCCAGAUUACUCUGCGAGGCUCCUGACUACGGUAGCUGUAAUGAUCCGACUAUCCAUCAAGAGAUUUCUUUGUUUGCUUUGGGUCCCUGCUGAAGAUAAAGAUGAUGCGGUCUUAGGGCUCAGAACUCAACAGUGAUGUCCUUCCUUCGGAUCAUGUCUUUAACACUUCAUAGAACUGCCAGGAAGGAUCAUUUUGUCCAAUUCUGCAACAACAGCAGUAAUGGAAGAGACCCCAUUUGUCGGAGAAGUCAAAGUAAGCUUAAUCUAAGUUUUUUUUUUUUAAUUGUAAAUAAGAUUUGAAAAAAAAAGUAUUUAAGAUUUUAGGUGCUUCAUUAAGUUGAUGAUUAGCUUGAUAAUCGACUGAUUUCAUUAUAAAUUGUAAAGUUAAAAUACACUUUAGAAUAAAUUAUAAAUAAUAAGCAAAAGAUACAAC
This is a long non-coding RNA of Astatotilapia calliptera (eastern happy), 1116 nucleotides long. The record is from Ensembl. Lineage: Eukaryota; Metazoa; Chordata; Actinopteri; Cichliformes; Cichlidae.